GAAACGCAUGCUAAUACCGCAUACGCCCUAUGGGGGAAAGCGGGGGACCUUCGGGCCUCGCGCUAUCGGAUGAGCCUGCGUAAGAUUAGCUAGUUGGUGGGGUAAAGGCCUACCAAGGCGACGAUCUUUAGCUGGUCUGAGAGGAUGAUCAGCCACACUGGGACUGAGACACGGCCCAGACUCCUACGGGAGGCAGCAGUGGGGAAUAUUGCGCAAUGGGCGAAAGCCUGACGCAGCCAUGCCGCGUGUGUGAAGAAGGCCCUAGGGUUGUAAAGCACUUUCAAUUGGGAAGAAAAGCUUGUCGUUAAUAUCGUCAAGCCCUGACAUUACCUUUAGAAGAAGCACCGGCUAACUCCGUGCCAGCAGCCGCGGUAAUACGGAGGGUGCGAGCGUUAAUCGGAAUUACUGGGCGUAAAGCGCGCGUAGGCGGUUAGUUAAGUCAGCUGUGAAAGCCCUGGGCUCAACCUGGGAACUGCAGUUGAUACUGGCCAACUAGAGUGCAAGAGAGGGAGGUAGAAUUCCACGUGUAGCGGUGAAAUGCGUA
RNAcentral lists this ribosomal RNA (544 nucleotides) under uncultured bacterium. Its description in RNAcentral is "bacterial SSU rRNA". It matches the Rfam family "Bacterial small subunit ribosomal RNA", at positions 153 to 692 of the family's 1533-position model. The record is from RNAcentral.